GAGAGAUCUCGCUUUGGAUGCAACUUCACUUCAGAGGGCAAGGGGUUUGGGGGAGACGCCCUAAUUCUACUCCAAGAGUGGAAAUCCUUAAAUAUUAGGGUGCAUUGGACUCUAUGGGAGGAGGCAUGGGUACCUCUACCAUGUCUUUAAGAGAGAGGAUGCGCAGAGGGAGAGUGGGGGGGGAGAGCCAAGCUGAUUGUGACCGUUCUACAAACUAAUUAUACACCUGAUGGGUGUACAGAGGUAAGUGGGCAAAAAUUUGGAAGGAGGAUGGAGGAUAAAGAGCAGACAGAAUGACGAGGCAAG
This is a non-coding RNA of Pelobates cultripes (western spadefoot toad), 306 nucleotides long. NCBI's taxonomy places the organism in Eukaryota, Metazoa, Chordata, Amphibia, Anura, Pelobatidae. The record is from the annotation of a GenBank genome assembly.